Molecule: long non-coding RNA, 559 nt
Organism: Oryzias melastigma (Indian medaka)
Lineage: Eukaryota; Metazoa; Chordata; Actinopteri; Beloniformes; Adrianichthyidae
Exons: 4
Source: RefSeq, a predicted model, not a curated record
AGGAGGUGACAGCCUGCUUGGACGAACGUUGAGGAGGCGAUGAAGACGAGGAAUCCAGCGUCAGGGCUGGAAUGAGACGUCGACGCUGAAGGCCUGGCGGAAGAAGACAGGAAGUGAAAGAAACCAAAACUGAAAGAGCUCGGAGAUUCUGCUGUUGACCGCACGCAGAGGCAGCUUGGCUGUCAGGCUCCCUCCCCGACUGCGGCUCAGAGACUGGGUGGACCAGGAUCCAGGAGUGGGUCCCUGCUGCUGCUGCUGCUGCUGCUGCUGCUGCUGCACCGGACUCUGGACGGAACUCUGUGGCUGAAGAGACAUAAAAAUGAUGAGGGCCAGUGGAGACGCGGCCAAGAGAAGAGACGGAUGCUCUGACACUCCCGCAAACAUAUGAAGACUGACGCUCGAGCCGCACGAGCUCUGUUUCAGUAGACGGAAGGAACUGGACUCUGCUGCGUCCGAAUGAGACACUGGACACACCCGGACCAUCACUUUGACCUGCAGAUGAAACCAGAAGAUAAACACAACAAGAACAUGAAACAGCUGUGAAAACGUGAUUCAGAAA